GACGAACUGUCCAAACGUUGUUCGGAAUCACUGGGCUUAAAGGGCGCGUAGGCGGUCUGCCAAGUCGGGGGUGAAAUCCUGCAGCUUAACUGUAGAAGUGCCUUCGAUACUGGCAGUCUGGAGGGAGAUAGGGGUGUGUGGAACUUCCAGUGGAGCGGUGAAAUGCGUUGAUAUUGGAAGGAACGCCGGAGGCGAAAGCGACGCACUGGAUCUCUUCUGACGCUGAGGCGCGAAAGCUAGGGGAGCAAACGG
Molecule: ribosomal RNA, 252 nt
Filed under: uncultured bacterium
Lineage: Bacteria
Description: partial 16S ribosomal RNA
Rfam family: Bacterial small subunit ribosomal RNA
Source: RNAcentral